This 582-nucleotide ribosomal RNA is filed under the name uncultured fungus. Its description in RNAcentral is "eukaryotic LSU rRNA". The stretch from base 198 to 342 matches the Rfam family "5.8S ribosomal RNA". The record is from RNAcentral. Lineage: Eukaryota; Fungi.
UCCGUAGGUGAACCUGCGGAAGGAUCAUUACAAAUCUCUGUUGGUGUGUGGUGGUAGGGGGGCUAGUUCUAUUAGGCAAUUUGCUUGGUAGGCUGGCUUAACCACUCCACUACACCCGACAACAUUAGCACGAGGCUGCAAGGCCUUGAUGUUUACGCUUGUUUGUUUGACAGAUUUACUGAGACUAAAAUAUAGACAACUUUUAACAAUGGAUCUCUUGGCUCUUGCAACGAUGAAGAACGCAGUAAAGUGCGAUAUGUAGUGCAAUUUGCAUGAAUCUGUGAGUCAUCUAAUCUUUGAACGCAACUUGCGCCUCUCUGAGGCAUGUCUGUUUGAGUGCCGCAUACUCUCUGCAGCAAUGCGAUGUGACUGUUGUCCCUGGACUCGGUCUAAACAAAGCCAGAUAGUGGCCUGUGUGGCUAGCCCGAGUGCUAAGCAUUCUCUAGCUAGUUACAUCGGUCAUAAUAUAUCUCUAUCUUUGGCCUCAAAUCAGGGCAAGGACUACCCGGCUGGAACCUUAAGGCAUAUCAAUAAGGCGGGAGGGAAGGUCGGACUGGCCAAGGGGCACACAGGGGGGGGAUA